CCUACGGGUGGCAGCAGUGGGGAAUAUUGGACAAUGGGGGAAACCCUGAUCCAGCGACGCCGCGUGAGUGAAGAAGUAUUUCGGUACGUAAAGCUCUAUCAGCAGGAAAGAAAAUGACGGUACCUGACUAAGAAGCCCCGGCUAACUACGUGCCAGCAGCCGCGGUAAUACGUAGGGGGCAAGCGUUAUCCGGAUGUACUGGGGGUAAAGGGAGCGUAGACGGCAGCGCAAGUCUGGAGUGAAAUGCCGGGGCCCAACCCCGGACGUGCACUGGAAACUGGUAAGCUGGAGUGCAGGAGAGGUAAGCGGAAUUCGUGGUGUAGCGGUGAAAUGCGUAGAUAUCAGGCAGAACACCGGCGGCGAAGGCAGCUUACUGG
Molecule: ribosomal RNA, 377 nt
Filed under: uncultured bacterium
Lineage: Bacteria
Description: partial 16S ribosomal RNA
Rfam family: Bacterial small subunit ribosomal RNA
Source: RNAcentral